GGUUCUCAUUUGAAAUCCCAUGCUCAUCUCUCUCUCUCUUACUUUCUAUUUUUU
RNAcentral lists this small RNA (54 nucleotides) under Arabidopsis thaliana (thale cress). Its description in RNAcentral is "ATSL117460". The record is from RNAcentral. Lineage: Eukaryota; Viridiplantae; Streptophyta; Magnoliopsida; Brassicales; Brassicaceae.